UAAUCAUCAUCGUUGCCACUGUCUAAUAACGGAUGUAAAAAAGAACGAUAGCAAAAAUUAGUUAUGUUAAAAUUAUUGUGGCCCCCCCUCCCCCCCUGCGUGACCUGAGCGCGUCUGGUGUGGGUGGACAAAAAAGCACGAGUGCGGAUCGGGUACUGGCUAGAGGCGGAGAGGGUAGUAAGUAGGGCUGCACGCACCAGUAGAUAACAGUAGCCAGAAAAUACUGGGCCGGUACCAAAGGAUACAACCGCCAGGUUGGAUUCGAAUAAAAGUUGCAAUGAAGGACAUGUGUUUCCGGUGUAAUGACACAAAGUGCCCAGAGGUGACGAAAUGUUUUGAUCAUAAUGAUGACCUGAACCAGAAUCUGCUGAUGGUGCCAGGUCCUUUCCAGCAAUGCACAUCCACCCCCUAUCCUCCUUCUGGGAGGUGCACCAUGUGUAGUCUGGAUUAUUAUUACACUGUGUGCAGAAACGUCUCAGAGAGCUUCCAGCCUGCCCUGGAGGCCAACAGCACAGCCAUUACCAACUAUGAACAAGCCAAUUGCCUUGUCAUCGGCAUCGCACCAACUACUGUGAAUGGUUCAGACUUCACUGGAGCUGCUGCUCAAUAUGGACAUCCUGCACUCAGGACUACCCAUCCCUUAACCAAGCUAUUUGGACCCAACCCCCAGAGAAAGUGACAGGGACAGCACUCAGGACUACCCAAACCCCCAGAUCAGGAUGCUGCUGCGUUAUCUCUGCCUUAAUUCCAUCACUUUAACUCUUCUUCUUAAAGUUGUAAUCUUUUAAUACGUUUUCAUAUUCAUAUUCUUGUAAAUCAGUACCGUUAAACCAGUGCCUUGGAUAAUUUUUGGUCCUCUAAUACUGACACCAGCCGGCUAAAGCCUACUCUUAUUCUUAGGAAUAAGUAUGGAAAUACAAAUGUUUUACCCAUGACGCAUCUACCAGGGUAUUUUGAAUGGGGCAAAAAAGGAAAAUAUGUCCAGUUAUUAAUCAAGCAGAGAUAAGCUUAUUCAAAAGUUGAUGCACUUUAACCCACCAAUGAAUUAUAAUUUACACAUGUUCUAUAACACCCAUUCCACCUUUGAAACUUCAUAUGAGUCUGGUCUGCACAUGGCUGAGGGAGGAAUGUAGUGAUUUAUAAUACAAGUUAUUACCAUCAAGAUGAUGGUACAGGACCCCACUACUGAAAAUCAACCUGGGUUCAUAAAUGAUUUGUGCCAUCCAUCUCCCUAAUGAAAAGGAUUUAUCCUAGCCUUCACCACCACUGUACUGUAUGUAAAAGCAUUAUGUUGUACUGUGCUAUUUGUCUAUGUCAGUACUGUAUUUCUAAUGCUAGUGUUUGUGAAAUGCAGUAAGUCUAUUUACAAGUAUAUUUAUGCUGUAAAGCAGGGUUUCCCAAAGUCAUUUAAAUUGGUUAUUUGAAUCAGCUGUGUAGUGCUAGGGCAAAAAAGAUAUAUGGACCCAGGGUGGGCCCCACAACUGAGUUUGGGAAACCCUGCUGUACAUUAUGAG
This 1514-nucleotide long non-coding RNA is filed under the name Salmo salar (Atlantic salmon). RNAcentral describes it as "lncRNA (ENSSSAG00000082845.1)". Lineage: Eukaryota; Metazoa; Chordata; Actinopteri; Salmoniformes; Salmonidae. The record is from RNAcentral.